This 5584-nucleotide long non-coding RNA is filed under the name Citrus sinensis (sweet orange). RNAcentral describes it as "long non-coding RNA (CSIN_LNC002518)". The record is from RNAcentral. Lineage: Eukaryota; Viridiplantae; Streptophyta; Magnoliopsida; Sapindales; Rutaceae.
ACAAGUUCUGGCUUCAAUUAAAGGAAACGGUUUAGAAGGUUUUAUUAAUGGCGAUUUGAAAUGUCCAGAGAAAUUUAUCUCACUUUCCAGCACUGGUGAAGCUUCAACAUCUAAUGAAUCACGAUCAGCAAAUCCUGAGUUCAUUGCUUGGAUGAAGACAUAUCAACUUCUCUUGAGUUGGAUGAUGUCAUCCAUUCAGCAAAGCUUACUAUCAACUGUGAUUGAUUGUGCAACUUCAAAGCAACUCUGGGAAUCACUUAACUGUAUGUUCAUUUCUCAGUCUCAAGCACGAAUUCAAACUCUUAGAAUGCAAAUCCAGACAAUUAAAAAAGGAUCUAUAACUAUGGCUGAAUAUUUUUCUAAAAUCAAACGUAUAGCAGAUACAUUAGCCUUAACAGGGAAACUAGUUGAACUAGGUGACUUUAUUAUGCAUGUGAUGAUUGGUCUUGAUUCUUCUGAUUAUGAGUCUUUGAUAACAACUAUUUUAGCUAGAGAAGGAACUAUUACUCUAGAUGAUUUGUACUCACUGCUUUUGAAUCAUGAAAAUAGGAUCGAUCAAAAGAAAAGCAAAAUUGCUAGUGAUAUCAUGCAUCAUAUGUCUGCAAAUGUAGCUAAAAAGGAUCAUAUUCUAGCAAAAAUAAUAAUGGAUUUAAGAAAAAUUAUGGAGGUAAUUUUGGAAAUGAUAAUAGUUCGAAUUUUGGUGGUUAUAAUGGAGGUUUUAAUAAUAAUGGAGGAUCUCAAUUUGCUGGUGGAAGAAAUUUUUCUGAUCUUGUCUGUCAGAUUUGCUUCAUUCCUAGUCAUGGAGCCAAUAGAUGCCAAAAUAGGUUCAAUCCUUCAUUUGUUCCUCAGAAGAAUUUUGGCAGAGAAAAUUUUAGAGGACAAUUUGGUAGAGGCGGGUCUUUUAAGAAUUUUGGCAGAGGGCCAAAUUUUUCUGGAACUAAUUUUGGGAAUGUUUAUAUGCCAAGAGGAGCUGUUUUUCAAGCCAACAUGGCUUACUCAGAUCUUGCUUUUAUUCCUAGGUGUACUCAUUAUAAUUACACAUCUGGUUUUAAUGUUUUUGCUCUGGACACUUUCAUGGAAUCUCUGCUCCUAGCUUUCCUCAUAGUCCCUCUCCAUAUUUUUCUGAAAAUGUUCUAAAUGGCAUGCCUAGUACCUCUGGACCAUCAACUCAAGCAACUUGUGCUGCAAAUCCUGAGAUUGCUAAAGAUCCCUCCUGGUAUAUUGAUAGUGGAGCAACCAACCACAUCACAAAUGAUUUAGGUAAGCUUGUUAAUCCUAAAGCUUAUGUUGGUAAUGAACAGCUAUAUGUUGGUGAUGGAAAUGCAUUGCUUAUUAACCAUGUUGGAUCAGUAAAGCUUACUAUAAACACUUUUGAACCAUUUUCUCUUAAUCAUGUUUUACAUGUUCCUAAAAUUACUAAGAAUUUACUUAGUGUUUCUAAGUUGCUUGCUGACAAUAAUGUUACCCUUAAAUUUGUUGGAACCUGUUGUUUUGUUAAGGCCAGGAGCACAGGGAUCAUAUUGCUUGAAGGAGUUGUUAAAGGAGGUCUUUAUAAAGACCAAAGUCCAACUUCUCAUCCUCAGUCUGUUGCUGUCAAUACAAUCCUUUUUAAUCAAAAUAAAUUUCAGUCUCUUUUUGCUUGUCUUCCUCAUUCAGCUUGUGAAACUUUUGGUUCAAAUUCCUUUCGGGGAAAUAAAAAUUAUUGUUUGUCUGUUAUAGCUACAAAAACUGUUGAUGUAAAUCUUCUUCAUAUAAGAUUAGGGCACCCUGCUGUUCAUGUCUUGAAAACAAUCCUCAACUCAUGUAACAAGUUUGGUAGUCUCGAUAAAAUUCAAAACUUACAAUUCAGUGGUGCUUGUCAAUUUGGAAAGAAUCAUAUGUUGCAUUUUAACUCUGUUCAAACUAAGACUACAGAACCUUUACAGUUGUUUUAUGCAGAUCUUUGGGGUCCUUCCCAUGUUACUUCCACUCAAGGUUAUGUCUAUUACUUAUCAAUCUUAGAUGAUUUUAGCCGUUUCACUUGGAUAUUUCCAUUAAGCUCAAAAUCUGAUGCCCUAACAGUGUUUGUCAAAUUCAAAAUCUUUAUUGAAAAACAUCUCCAAAAGAGUAUCAAAACAGUUCAAACUGACUGGGGUGGGGAAUUCAGAUCAUUCUCUUCUUUACUCAACAAUUCAGGAAUUCAUUUUAGGCAUCCUUGUCCUUAUAUUCAUCAUCAAAAUGGGAGGAUUAAAAGGAAACAUAGAUAUAUUGUUGAUAUUAGCCUUACCUUGCUUGCUCAAGCACAUCUUCCUUUAAAAUUCUGGUGGAAUGCCUUUCAGACUGAUGUCUACUUAAUCAACAGACUUCCCAUACCAGUCUUGAACAAUAUAUCACCCUAUCAAAAGCUAUUUCAUCAAAAACCAAAUUAUUCUACUCUUAGAAUUUUUAGUUGUGCAUGUUUUCCUUACCUAAGACCCUAUAACAGACACAAACUUGAAUUCAGAACUGGCAGGUGCAUUUUUAUUGGAUAUAGUUCUAACCAUAAGGGCUAUCUGUGUUUGCAUUCAUUUGGAAGGACAUACAUUUCCAAUCAUGUAGUCUUUAAUGAAAAAUCAUUUUCUUAUGUUCAUGGUCUUGAUUUUUCCUCGGUCAUAAUAUCUUCUCAAACAGAUUUUGUGCUUCAGUCAGAUUCUGAGUAUCCUUUUGUUAUUCAUCUUCAAGCUCCUUUAGCAGCAACUUCAACAUCUGAUUCUGCAGCUCCAGUCUCAAUCUCUCCAUAGGUAUUUUCUCAACACUCACCUUUGCUCUCAGUUUCUACGACAAAUACUUUAAACCAUACCUCAAAUUCUUCUCCCAAUUCCUAUUCUCCUUUAAGAAAUUCUCCACCUCAUAUCCUUCCUGCACCACCUUCUAUUAGUCAUUCUAUGAUCACAAGGUCUAAGAAUGACAUUUUAAAACCAAAAUUUUAUCUCUCAGUACUUCUAGCCCAACAAUCUGAACCUGCAUCUGUCACUCAAGCUUUAACUGAUCCACAAUGGUUCAAAGCCACGCAAGAAGAGUUUUAAGCUCUCCAAGCUAAUCAUACUUGGGAGUUGGUAUUACCUAAAGCUACUGUUAAAGUGGUUGGCAAUAAAUGAGUUUUUAAAAUAAAAUAUAAUCCUGAUGGGUCAAUACUGAAGUACAAAGCACGGCUGGUUGCCAAAGAUUUUCAUCAAGUUCAUGGUAUUGAUUACACUAAAACUUUUAGUCCAGUGGUUAAAGCUUCUACUUUCAGGGUAGUUUUGAGCAUUGCAGUCAUGAAUAGUUGGAUUCUCAGGCAAAUAGAUGUGAACAAUGCUUUUUUGAAUGGAAUUCUUGAUGAGGAAGUUUAUAUGGCACAGCCAGAGGGGUUUGUUAAUCCUCAAAAGCCUCAGCACAUAUGCAAACUCAAGAAAGCCAUCCAUGGAUUAAAACAAGCUCCAAGAGCUUGGUUUGCCAGAUUCAGAACAACCAUGAUUUCUCAGUGGCAUUUUCAGAAUUCAAAGUCAGAUAAUUCUAUUUUUUACAAAAGGGAAAAUGGUCACUUACUCCUGGUGUUGGUAUAUGUUGACGAUAUCAUCAUUACUGGUUCUAACUCAACUAAAGUUCAACAAGUUAUUCAAGAUAUACAGAAGACUUUUGCCUUGAAAGAUCUUGGGGAACUUAGCUAUUUCUUAGGCAUUAAAGUCUCUAAACUUCAAAAUGGUAUUCAUCUCUCACAGGCUAAAUACAUUGUAGACAUCUUAGCAAAACAUGACUUGGCUAGCUGCAGUCCAGUACCAACACCUAUGUCUACAGGUCAAUAUCUCAUUAAAGACUCAGGUACUGACAUUGCAAAUAUUUCUCAAUAUAGAAGCAUCAUUGGGGCACUAUAGUAUGUUACACUCACUGGACCAGAAAUUUCAUUCAGUGUUAAUAAGCUCAACCAAUUUUUGUCUCAUCCUAAAACUUCACAUUGGGAGGCUUGCAAAAGAUUAUUAAGAUAUCUUAAAGGAACAAUUCAUUUUGGACUUCAAUUUUACAAUUGUGAAGCUCUACAAAUAAAUUGUUUUUCAGACUCAGAUUGGGCUUGUGAUCGUGAUGAUAGAAAGUCAGUGGCUGGUUUUGCUGCGUAUCUGGGUCCAAAUUUGGUUUCAUGGUCUUCAAAGAAACAAUCGGUUGUAUCAAGGUCAAGUGCCGAGGCUGAGUAUGGAGCUCUAGCUCAUGCUGCAUCAGAAGUUGUUUGGAUAAAGUCUUUACUUGUUGAGUUGCAAGUUCAGCUAAGCACAACACCACUCAUGUGGUGUGACAAUCAGAGUGCAAUUGCUUUAGCUUAUAAUCCAAUUUAUCAUGCUAAAACAAAGCAUGUUGAGCUGGACAUUCAUUUCAUCAUAGAUAAGGUGGCAUAAAAAGAAAUAGAUGUUUGUUUUGUGCCUAGUGAGGAUCAAAUAGCAGAUGUCUUAAUCAAGGCUCUUACUUUCAAUCAGUUUCAUUACUUACGCAGCAAACUAAAUGUUCAAGCCAAGCAUUUUAGUUUCAAAGGGGAUGUUAGUGAAGAUGAGUGAAGCAACAGAGAAAGAAAGUAAUGAAGGAAGAAGGAACUUCAGUCUAAGAGGAGAUGUUAGUGAAGCUGAUUAAUUGUGAACAGAGGAAGCGAGCACAUGUUGUUACUGUGUGUUUGACUGUAGCAGAUUAGCUCACUUAGCUGACGUGGCUCAGUUUGUUAUAUUGGUUUAAGAAUUCUCACGUGCAUGUGUAACAGCUUAUUAACAAGAAAUUGAUACUUGUUAUAUAAAGUGUGUAAGAUACAUUCAUUCGUCAAUAAGAAGUUUCCUUUAUAAAAUUUUUCUUUCUCUUUCUUUUAACUUUCUCGUUUACCAAACACAACAAUUGGUUUUCUAUCAUGGGGGAGCAAAUGGCGAAGAUCAUAAAGCAAUGGCACAGUGAAGCAAGGGAGAGAAAGAAGAAACAGGAAAAAUAUUUACCAUGUACUCCUCGCAGUUGUUUGUAUAUCGGCAGUGCAAACGGAUUCUCUUCUCUCCGAAGACCCACCCCUGUUUACAAAGAAGAAAUAAUCAGAGGAGAACAAGAAGAGCCAAGCACAUCUUCAAGAUCUGGAGCUCCAUCACCAAUGGCCUGGCUAGAAAUGCCAACGCUGAGGAGAGAGUAGACAAGGUUAUGGGAAAAUUGUUGAAAAAGGAGAUUGUUGAUUCUAAGAUAUACUUACGAGAAGAAUAUUACAUGUGAUGAGGAAAAAAAUAAAUUAAAGAAAAUUUUAACGUUUUGGGUGUGUUCUUAAUAUAUACUUUUAAAGCUAGCUGUGAAGGUAUUUCGCGUCCGCGAUUACCCGAGUUCAAGUAACAAUAGUGGGGUAAUAGUUGAUAUCUGUUAAGUAAAAAUUUCUCAUCCUUACCUAAAUCCAUUCUAGAAAAAAGACAUGUACAUUCACACCUAUCUAAUGGAUUCUUGUCCCUACAGGCAUUUGUUCUUAUACACAUGGUUGAAAGAUACAUGUAAUAAUAAUUCAACUUCUCAUUUUCUUUGACAAUGUGGAUUAUUUUUCCAUGUACCCGGGGUAUACGUAUCUGGAAAUGAAAUAUUCCGUUUU